This 468-nucleotide ribosomal RNA is filed under the name uncultured bacterium. RNAcentral describes it as "partial 16S ribosomal RNA". It matches the Rfam family "Bacterial small subunit ribosomal RNA", at positions 28 to 507 of the family's 1533-position model. The record is from RNAcentral.
GACGAACGCUGGCGGCGUGCUUAACACAUGCAAGUCGAACGGAAAGGCCCUGCUUUUGUGGGGUGCUCGAGUGGCGAAAGGGUGAGUAACACGUGAGUAACCUGCCCUUGACUUUGGGAUAACUUCAGGAAACUGGGGCUAAUACCGGAUAGGAGCUCCUGAUGCAUGGUGGGGGUUGGAAAGUUUCGGCGGUUGGGGAUGGACUCGCGGCUUAUCAGCUUGUUGGUGGGGUAGUGGCUUACCAAGGCUUUGACGGGUAGCCGGCCUGAGAGGGUGACCGGCCACAUUGGGACUGAGAUACGGCCCAGACUCCUACGGGAGGCAGCAGUGGGGAAUAUUGCACAAUGGGCGGAAGCCUGAUGCAGCAACGCCGCGUGCGGGAUGACGGCCUUCGGGUUGUAAACCGCUUUCGCCUGUGACGAAGCGUGAGUGACGGUAAUGGGUAAAGAAGCACCGGCUAACUACGUG